This is a long non-coding RNA of Mauremys reevesii (Reeves's turtle), 246 nucleotides long. RefSeq lists it as uncharacterized. The transcript has 3 exons. The record is from RefSeq and is a predicted model, not a curated record. Lineage: Eukaryota; Metazoa; Chordata; Testudines; Geoemydidae.
GUGUACACCAAUAUAUUCACUGCCUCUCCAGAUCAGACUAUACUUGGAACCUUUACACCUUUUGGACAUGGCAGUAUUUGCCUUCAUAACAGUAACGUCAUCGCAAUGAUGUUUAAUCAGGAAGGAGGCAUGGUGACUAAUAAAGAUGGAGAAAUAGUCAGAGAAUGGAGAUGGCCUCAGGUGGGAAAGCUUAGUGAUCCAGUUGUAAUGCAGGUUAAUGACUACAUCACUGUGAGGAUUGCAGGG